Molecule: ribosomal RNA, 517 nt
Filed under: uncultured Staphylococcus sp.
Lineage: Bacteria; Bacillati; Bacillota; Bacilli; Caryophanales; Staphylococcaceae
Description: partial 16S ribosomal RNA
Source: RNAcentral
CACGUAGUUAGCCGUGGCUUUCUGAUUAGGUACCGUCAAGAUGUGCACAGUUACUUACACAUUUGUUCUUCCCUAAUAACAGAGUUUUACGAGCCGAAACCCUUCAUCACUCACGCGGCGUUGCUCCGUCAGGCUUUCGCCCAUUGUGGAAGAUUCCCUACUGCUGCCUCCCGUAGGAGUCUGGACCGUGUCUCAGUUCCAGUGUGGCCGAUCACCCUCUCAGGUCGGCUACGUAUCGUCGCCUUGGUAAGCCGUUACCUUACCAACUAGCUAAUACGGCGCGGGUCCAUCUAUAAGUGAUAGCAAAACCAUCUUUCACUUUAGAACCAUGCGGUUCUAAAUGUUAUCCGGUAUUAGCUCCGGUUUCCCGAAGUUAUCCCAGUCUUAUAGGUAGGUUACCCACGUGUUACUCACCCGUCCGCCGCUAACUUCAAAGGAGCAAGCUCCUUAUCUGUUCGCUCGACUUGCAUGUAUUAGGCACGCCGCCAGCGUUCAUCCUGAGCCAGGAUCAAACUCU